This 419-nucleotide ribosomal RNA is filed under the name uncultured bacterium. Its description in RNAcentral is "bacterial SSU rRNA". It matches the Rfam family "Bacterial small subunit ribosomal RNA", at positions 355 to 786 of the family's 1533-position model. The record is from RNAcentral.
UGGGGAAUAUUGCACAAUGGGGGAAACCCUGAUGCAGCAACGCCGCGUGAAGGAAGAAGGGUUUCGGCUCGUAAACUUCUAUCAAUAGGGAUGAAAAAAAGUGACAGUACCUAAAUAAGAAGCCCCGGCUAACUACGUGCCAGCAGCCGCGGUAAUACGUAGGGGGCAAGCGUUAUCCGGAAUUACUGGGUGUAAAGGGAGAGUAGGCGGCAUGGUAAGUUAGAUGUGAAAGCCUCGGGCUUAACCUGAGGAUUGCAUUUAAAAGCUAUCAGGCUAGAGUACAGGAGAGGAAAGCGGAAUUCCUAGUGUAGCGGUGAAAUGCGUAGAUAUUAGGAAGAACACCAGUGGCGAAGGCGGCUUUCUGGACUGAAACUGACGCUGAGGCUCGAAAGCGUGGGGAGCGAACAGGAUUAGAUACC